This 1160-nucleotide ribosomal RNA is filed under the name Warodia lineata. RNAcentral describes it as "16S ribosomal RNA". The record is from RNAcentral. Lineage: Eukaryota; Metazoa; Arthropoda; Insecta; Hemiptera; Cicadellidae.
UGGUUAUUUUAUUUUUAAAUUUUUUUUUUAAAAAAAUCUAGUUUAAUAAUAAAUUAUUUUAACAGUAUUUUUAKYUAUAUUHUAAUUUUUUUUAAUAAAAAAUUUGUUAGUACCUUUGGUAUCAGGGUUAAUUAAUUUUGUUAAUAUAUAUUUUUAUCCCGAAAUUAAAAGGUCAACUAGUAAAURAUUUURUUUGUUUUAUAAAAUAAUUUAAUUUUUUAGUUGUAAAUAUAUUUUCUUCGAUUUUUAUUAUAUCUGGUUAUUUAGGAAUAAAUUAAAUUUUUAAGACUUUAGUUUUUCUUAUAUYUAAUAAGGGUUAAUCUUUAUUAUUUUUUAUAAUUUUUUUUAUAYCAUUUUUAUUAAUUUUUAAAUUUUAUAUUUAGUUAUUAAUAUAUUUAAAUGAAUUUUUUAUUGAUUUGAUUUUAUUUAAUUUUUUACUAAAUUUAUUUAUAAAAUUUCAUUAUAAUUUAAAUUUUGAUUUAAUUAGUAAAAUUUUAUUUUAAAAUUUAAUGAAUUCGGCAUAUUUAAUUUUCAACUGUUUAUCAAAAACAUUUUUUUUAGAUUAUAUUAAAAAUAUAUUCUGCCCUAUGAAUAUUUAAAUGGCUGCAGUAUUUUGACUGUACAAAGGUAGCAUAAUAAUUAGUUUUUUAAUUGAGGACUGGAAUGAAAGAUUAAAUGAGAGAUUAACUUUAUUAUUUUUAAAUUUUGAAUUUUAUUUUUAAGUAAAAAAGCUUAAGUUUUUUUUUGGGACGAAAAGACCCUAUAGAACUUUACUUUUUUHWAAAAAUUUAUUUUAAAUUUUUAUUUAUAUUUUUWAAAUYUUGUUUUACUGGGGUGGUAGUUAAAUAACUCUUUAAUUUUUWUUUUCAUUWAUUUAUGUUUAUUUUGAAUUAAUUUAUUUAAUCACAAGAAAAAGUUACCUUAGGGAUAACAGCGUAAUUUAUAUGGAGAGUUCAYAUCUAUAUAURAGUUUGCGACCUCGAUGUUGAAUUAAGAUAARUUAAGGAAGAAGUAUUUUUUAUAUUAAGUCUGUUCGACUUUUAAAUUCUUACAUGAUUUGAGUUCAAACCGGUGUAAGCCAGGUUGGUUUCUAUCUUAAGAUUUYUUUUUUAUUUCAGUACGAAAGGACCAAUUAAAUUGUUUAAAAUAUUUGCUUUAAA